UAUAUUGAAAACUCUUCUCUUGGGCUUUGUAAAGUUUUAGGCCAAACCACACACGUACGCAUGGGAUCCAACUUGGCUCGGAUGUGAUCGCACUGUACCCGCAUCUGCGGCAUGGCAAGGCUCACAUUUUUUCUCUAUUUAUUUUUUGAAUGAUUACUACUAUUUUUUCUUAUUUAAUUUGAGAUAAAUAUCAUAUUUUAAUGUUGCUUUUUUGCCUAUUGAUUUUCUACCCAUU
This 235-nucleotide long non-coding RNA is filed under the name Elaeis guineensis (African oil palm). RNAcentral's name for it is "long non-coding RNA (EGUI_LNC003555)". The record is from RNAcentral. Lineage: Eukaryota; Viridiplantae; Streptophyta; Magnoliopsida; Arecales; Arecaceae.